Molecule: ribosomal RNA, 253 nt
Filed under: uncultured bacterium
Lineage: Bacteria
Description: partial 16S ribosomal RNA
Rfam family: Bacterial small subunit ribosomal RNA
Source: RNAcentral
UACGUAGGGGGCAAGCGUUGUCCGGAUUCAUUGGGCGUAAAGAGCGUGUAGGCGGCCAGGUAGGUCGGUUGUGAAAACUGGAGGCUCAACCUUCAGAGGUCGACCGAAACCAUCUGGCUAGAGUCCGGGAGAGGAGAGUGGAAUUCCUGGUGUAGCGGUGAAAUGCGCAGAUAUCGGGAAGAACACCCGUGGCGAAGGCGGUUCUCUGGGACGGUACUGACGCUGAGACGCGAAAGCGUGGGGAGCGAACAGG